CCUUGACAACCUCCCAGUUUUUGGUAAAAAAUUCCACAGGGAAACCAUCUACACCAGGGGCGUUAUCCUUAGGCAUGUCUUUAACAGCAUCAUAUAUUUCAUCCAAAGUGAUAUCCUGUAUUAGUGCUAUUUGCUGGGCUAAAGUAAUGCAUUUUCCUUCAUUGACAAUAGAAGAAUUAAUACAAGGUAGUUCAGAAGCACUCUCACCC
This 209-nucleotide long non-coding RNA is filed under the name Nicotiana benthamiana. Its description in RNAcentral is "long non-coding RNA (NBEN_LNC000743)". The record is from RNAcentral. Lineage: Eukaryota; Viridiplantae; Streptophyta; Magnoliopsida; Solanales; Solanaceae.